Salmo salar (Atlantic salmon) is the source of this 52-nucleotide non-coding RNA. Lineage: Eukaryota; Metazoa; Chordata; Actinopteri; Salmoniformes; Salmonidae. The record is from Rfam.
GAAUUAACUAACUGUAAGUCGCUCUGGAUAAGAGCGUCUGCUAAAUCUGGUU